AUGUUCGACAACUACGACCUGUGCGGCGCGGCCAACGACCGCGCGAGCAAGCUGUUCCGCGCCGACAAGGACGUGGGCGCCCGCAUGUCUUUCCACACCGCCGACGUCGCGGACCUCGCUGGCGAGCUCGCCGCGUACGACGUCGUCUUCCUGGCCGCGCUCGUGGGCAUGGCUGCCGAGGACAAGGCCAAGGUGAUCGCGCACCUCGGCGCGCAUAUGGCGGACGGGGCGGCCCUCGUCGUGCGCAGCGCGCACGCCGCGCGUGGGUUCCUGUACCCGAUCGUCGAUCCCCAGGACAUCGGUCGCGGCGGGUUCGAGGUGCUGGCCGUGUGUCACCCCGACGACGACGUGGUGAACUCCGUCAUCAUCGCACAGAAGUCCAAGGACAUGCAUGCCAAUGAACACCGCAACGGGCGUGGUGGACAGUACGCACGGUGUUAG
This 441-nucleotide ribosomal RNA is filed under the name Triticum aestivum (bread wheat). RNAcentral describes it as "partial small subunit ribosomal RNA". The record is from RNAcentral. Lineage: Eukaryota; Viridiplantae; Streptophyta; Magnoliopsida; Poales; Poaceae.